CUCCGGUUGAUCCCGCCGGACCCGACUGCUAUCAGAGUGGGACUAAGCCAUGCGAGUCAACGCAGCAAUGCGUGGCAUACGGCUCAGUAACACGUAGUCAACAUGCCCAGGGGACGUGGAUAACCUCGGGAAACUGAGGAUAAACCGCGAUAGGCCAAGAUUUCUGGAAUGGAUAAUGGCUGAAAUCUAUAUGGCCCCUGGAUUGGACUGCGGCCGAUCAGGCUGUUGGUGAGGUAAUGGCCCACCAAACCUGUAACCGGUACGGGCUCUGAGAGGAGGAGCCCGGAGAUGGGCACUGAGACAAGGGCCCAGGCCCUAUGGGGCGCAGCAGGCGCGAAACCUCUGCAAUAGGCGAAAGCUUGACAGGGUUACUCUGAGUGAUGUCCGUUAAGGGCAUCUUUUGGCACUUCUAAAAAUAGUGUAGAAUAAGGGGUGGGCAAGUCUGGUGUCAGCCGCCGCGGUAAUACCAGCUCCUCGAGUGGUCGGGGCGAUUAUUGGGCCUAAAGCAUCCGUAGCCGGUUCCGUAGGUCUCCUGCAAAAUCCAGUCGCUCAACGAUUGGCCCGCAGGAGAUACCGCGGGACUAGGAGGCGGGAGAGGUGGACGGUACUCCACGUGUAGGGGUAAAAUCCUUUGAUCCGUGGAAGACCACCAGUGGCGAAGGCGGUUCACCAGAACGCGCUCGACGGUGAGGGAUGAAAGCUGGGGGAGCAAACCGGAUUAGAUACCCGGGUAGUCCCAGCCGUAAACGAUGCAGACUCGGUGAUGGGUUGGCUUCGCGCUAACCCAGUGCCGCAGGGAAGCCGUUAAGUCUGCCGCCUGGGUAGUACGGUCGCAAGACUGAAACUUAAAGGAAUUGGCGGGGGAGCA
This 868-nucleotide ribosomal RNA is filed under the name uncultured archaeon. RNAcentral's name for it is "bacterial SSU rRNA". It matches the Rfam family "Archaeal small subunit ribosomal RNA", at positions 1 to 878 of the family's 1478-position model. The record is from RNAcentral.